This 252-nucleotide ribosomal RNA is filed under the name uncultured bacterium. RNAcentral describes it as "partial 16S ribosomal RNA". It matches the Rfam family "Bacterial small subunit ribosomal RNA", at positions 524 to 777 of the family's 1533-position model. The record is from RNAcentral.
UACGGAGGGUGCGAGCGUUGUCCGGAAUCACUGGCGUAAAGGGCGCGUAGGCGGUUUCGUAAGCGUGCGGUGAAAGCCCGGGGCUCACCCCGGGUCGGCCGUGCGGACUGCGAGACUUGAGCACUGUAGAGGCAGAUGGAAUUCCGGGUGUAGCGGUGGAAUGCGUAGAGAUCCGGAAGAACACCGGUGGCGAAGGCGGUCUGCUGGGCAGUUGCUGACACUGAGGCGCGACAGCGUGGGGAGCAAACAGGG